This 445-nucleotide ribosomal RNA is filed under the name uncultured Anoxybacillus sp. Its description in RNAcentral is "bacterial SSU rRNA". It matches the Rfam family "Bacterial small subunit ribosomal RNA", at positions 938 to 1382 of the family's 1533-position model. Lineage: Bacteria; Bacillati; Bacillota; Bacilli; Caryophanales; Anoxybacillaceae. The record is from RNAcentral.
CAUGUGGUUUAAUUCGAUGCAACGCGAAGAACCUUACCAGGUCUUGACAUCCCCUGACAACCCGAGAGAUCGGGCGUUCCCCUUCGGGGGACAGGGUGACAGGUGGUGCAUGGUUGUCGUCAGCUCGUGUCGUGAGAUGUUGGGUUAAGUCCCGCAACGAGCGCAACCCUCGACCUUAGUUGCCAGCAUUCAGUUGGGCACUCUAAGGUGACUGCCGGCUAAAAGUCGGAGGAAGGUGGGGAUGACGUCAAAUCAUCGUGCCCCUUAUGACCUGGGCUACACACGUGCUACAAUGGGCGGUACAAAGGGUCGCGAACCCGCGAGGGGGAGCCAAUCCCAAAAAGCCGCUCUCAGUUCGGAUUGCAGGCUGCAACUCGCCUGCAUGAAGCCGGAAUCGCUAGUAAUCGCGGAUCAGCAUGCCGCGGUGAAUACGUUCCCGGGCCUU